UGCAAGUCGAGCGAGUCUGCCUUGAAGAUCGGAGUGCUUGCACUCUGUGAAACAAGAUACAGGCUAGCGGCGGACGGGUGAGUAACACGUGGGUAACCUGCCCAAGAGAUCGGGAUAACACCUGGAAACAGAUGCUAAUACCGGAUAACAACAGAUGAUGCCUAUCAACUGUUUAAAAGAUGGUUCUGCUAUCACUCUUGGAUGGACCUGCGGUGCAUUAGCUAGUUGGUAGGGUAACGGCCUACCAAGGCGAUGAUGCAUAGCCGAGUUGAGAGACUGAUCGGCCACAUUGGGACUGAGACACGGCCCAAACUCCUACGGGAGGCAGCAGUAGGGAAUCUUCCACAAUGGACGCAAGUCUGAUGGAGCAACGCCGCGUGAGUGAAGAAGGGUUUCGGCUCGUAAAGCUCUGUUGUUGGUGAAG
This 424-nucleotide ribosomal RNA is filed under the name uncultured Lactobacillaceae bacterium. Its description in RNAcentral is "bacterial SSU rRNA". It matches the Rfam family "Bacterial small subunit ribosomal RNA", at positions 56 to 447 of the family's 1533-position model. The record is from RNAcentral. Lineage: Bacteria; Bacillati; Bacillota; Bacilli; Lactobacillales; Lactobacillaceae.